AAUGCAGUGCCCGAACAGGGCGUUGUAAUUGGAAUGAGAACAAUUUAAAUCCCUUAUCGAUUAGCAAUUAGAGGGCAAGUCUGGUGCCAGCAGCCGCGGUAAUUCCAGCUCUAAUAGCGUAUAUUAAAGUUGUUGCAGUUAAAAAGUUCGUAGUUGGAUUUCGGCGUGCGCUCAGGCUGGUCGGCCGUCAAGGUCUGUACCGUUUGGGUCACGCCCCACUGUAGGAUACUCACCGCUGUCCUUAACUGGGUGGCGGUCAAAGGGGGUGUGCAUGGGGGCAACUCUGUGCAUAUCUCUGGGGUUCCUACUCUUUUACUUUGAGCAAAUUAGAGUGUUCAAAGCAGGCAAUCGAGCCUUGAAUACUUCAGCAUGGGAUAAUGGAACAGGACUGGGGUCCUGAUUUCGUUGGCUUCUGGGAUCUCAGUAAUGAUUAAUAGGGAUAGUUGGGGGCAUUAGUAUUUAAUUGUCAGAGGUGAAAUUCUUGGAUUUAUGAAAGACUAACUUCUGCGAAAGCAUUUGCCAAGGAUGUUUUCAUUAAUCAAGAACGAUAGUUAGGGGAUCGAAGACGAUCAGAUACCGUCGUAGUCUUAACCAUAAACGAUGCCGACCAGCGAUUGGGAGACGUUACAUGGAUGACUCCCCCAGCAGCUUGCGAGAAAUCACAAGUCUUUGGGUUCCGGGGGGAGUAUGGUCGCAAGGCUGAAACUUAAAGGAGUUGACGGAAGGGCACCACCAGGAGUGGAGCCUGCGGCUUAAUUUGACUCAACACGGGGAAACUUACCAGGUCCAGACAUAGUAAGGAUUGACAGAUUUGAGAGCUCUUUCUUGAUUCUAUGGGUGGUGUGCAUGGCCGUUCUUAGUUGGUGGAGUGAUUUGUCUGGUUAAUUCCGUUAACGAACGAGACCUUAACCUGCUAAAUAUGUCACUGGUAGACUUCUGCCAAAACAGGUGGGUGUCUAGGGGAAAGUUUCGAUGGACUCCGACGCAUUCAUCUAUGGAUGACUACCAGGAUGUACUUCUUAGAGGGACUAUCUGUAUCAAAGCAGAUGGAAGUUUGAGGCAAUAACAGGUCUGUGAUGCCCUUAGAUGUUCUGGGCCGCACGCGCGCUACGCUGACAAGUUCAACGAGUUUAACACCUUGCUCGAUAGGGCUGGGUAAUCUUUGAAAAACUUGUCGUGAUGGGGAUAGAUCAUUGUAAUUAUUGGUCUUCAACGAGGAAUUCCUAGUAAGCGUGAGUCAUCAGCUCGCGUUGAUUACGUCCCUGCCCUAUGUACACACCGCCCGUCGCUCCUACCGAUUGAAUGAUCCGGUGAAAUGUUGGGAGCUGGGGUCUUUUGGCGGCGGGGCAACUCGUCGUCAGGGAUUCUGCAAACUUCAUUAAACCUUAUCAUUUAGA
Molecule: ribosomal RNA, 1397 nt
Filed under: metagenome
Description: SSU rRNA
Rfam family: Eukaryotic small subunit ribosomal RNA
Source: RNAcentral